Molecule: long non-coding RNA, 1846 nt
Organism: Bubalus bubalis (water buffalo)
Lineage: Eukaryota; Metazoa; Chordata; Mammalia; Artiodactyla; Bovidae
Exons: 2
Source: RefSeq, a predicted model, not a curated record
UUGUGGACUUGGGGGCAGGGAUGUUUUCUCACAAGCGUGGGGCCUUUUCUAAACUGGUAUUUGGAAUCUUGGGGAAUCAGCACCCACGUUCUGAGGGAAGGCAGUCCUCGGGAUACUAGGCUGAGGAGAAGGCAGGGGAAGAAACCCCAUCUUCUGGCUGCAGGCUGGGGGCAAGGAAGCAGGGAGGCCAGCAGUGUCUGCACGCCCAGCAGGGAGAAGAGAGGACGGUGGGCGGGCAUUGCCAGUGGGCCCACAACGGAGGCUUCCAGAAUGUUACAGGUUCUGUGACAGUCGGGCCUCAGGACAGGGCUCCGUGCCAUCCUACUUCUUGCAAUGGUACCGUUUGUCCGAGUUGGAUGGUCUUAUAUCCUGUGAAGGGCAAGUUCCCCAGGAACCGUGUGCUCUCAAGGGUUUAUAGACUGGUUUCCUGCACGACAGGAGCCCCCUGGGUUCUGAGGAGCAGGAGAAAGAGAAAAGAGGAGGAUGAUUUUUGCAAUUAUGUCCUGGGAGGCACAGAGAGCAAAUGGCAAAACGGUCUUUAAAGGGGUAAAUAUGAUAAAGACACGAGGAUAACUAAUAUGCUUUCCCGUAGACCUGGCUUUCAUUUGCUUAUAAACACCCCAAGAGACAGCCCAGAUUUAUUUAAAUAGCCCGGAUGAUAUAUAAGGCAGUGGAGAAGCAGGUGGGAAAUUGCACUCAGGCCGGCUUGGAAACAGAUGAAAGAGACAGGCCCACGGCUGCAGGGAGGGGACUGGUCCCUGGGGAGGCCUGAAGAUGGAGCCUGGGGGAGAGCCGACAGUACCUAAAUGCCAACAAGAGAGAUGGUGCCCACUUCAUGAGGCCCAGAAGGCUGCAAGGUUCUCCAGGAUGGAGGUGAAUUCCAGAGAUGAAUUUUGCUGUAUUCAACACAGCACAUUGCAUUUAAGAUGGAAGAGCCAAGAAGAAACCACCAGUCACUGGUCUGGGGAACACAGACGGCCGGCCAUACACUCUACUUGGGAAGGUACACAGUAAACUUGGGAAAGAAAGUUUGGCCAUAAGUAUCCAAACCUGUGUGCUCUGACCCAGCCGUUUCACUUCCAGCAACUUAUUCUCAGGAAGAGAGUCAGUGGAGGGUUACUUAAUAGAUCAUCCCUUGUGUGCCCAAAUGUCCAGUGUAAGGAGAUUGGCUAAGUGAGUUUUGGGGCAAACAACCAUGGAAACUGUGUUGUGAAAUGUGGUUGAUCUGAUGUUCAGUGCAGAGAGUCACCAAAAAAAAAAAAGCGUAUCUCAUAUGACGUCAGUUUCAUAUAAAAAAGGGUACGUUACUUAGCUUGGGGGAGAAGAAUUGCCAAAAUAUUAACAGUGAUUAUCUCUGUAGGUGGGAGUGAAUGGGUGUCAAGUUUUCUUCUCUGCGUGUUUCUGAAUAUUCUGUAUUUGUUAUCAUUAUAUUUAUGUUAUGCAUUAUAUGGCCUUCCCUGGUGGCUCAGACGGUAAAGUGUCUGCCUACAAUGCGGGAGACCUGGGUUCGAUCCCUGGGUCAGGAAGAUCUCCUGGAGAAGGAAAUGGCAACCCACUCCAGUAUUCUUGCCUGGAACAUCCCAUGGACGGAGGAGAUUGGUUGGCUGCUGUCCAUGGGGUCACAAAGAGUUGAACACGACUGAGCGACUUCACUGUCACUAUCGCUAAGCAUUAUAUAUAUGUUAUGCAUUGUAUUUGUUAGCAGAGAAAAAGAAUUCCUGUGACUGUUGAAGCACAUUCUCCAGUUAGCAGAAUUCUUACGAAUACUGUGAGAAUUGGUAUGGUAUACUAUAUUCUCUUGUAUUAUUCGAUAAAGAUUAUUAUACAAUAAAGUUCUGUUUAUCAC